AACGAACGCUGGCGGCGCGCCUAAUACAUGCAAGUCGAGCGAGAAGACGUAGCAAUACGUUUGUAAAGCGGCGAACGGGUGAGGAAUACAUGGGUAACCUACCCUCGAGUGGGGAAUAACUAGCCGAAAGGUUAGCUAAUACCGCGUACGCUCCUUGGACUUCGGUUCAGGGAGGAAAGCGAUACCGUGGGUAUCGCGCUCUUGGAUGGGCUCAUGUCCUAUCAGCUUGUUGGUGAGGUAACGGCUCACCAAGGCUUCGACGGGUAGCUGGUCUGAGAGGACAAUCAGCCACACUGGCACUGCGACACGGGCCAGACUCCGUACGGGAGGCAGCAAGUAAGGAAUAUUGCGCAAGUGGGACGAAAGCCUGACGCAGCGACGCCGCGGUGGGGGAUGGAAGGUC
Molecule: ribosomal RNA, 403 nt
Filed under: uncultured bacterium
Lineage: Bacteria
Description: bacterial SSU rRNA
Rfam family: Bacterial small subunit ribosomal RNA
Source: RNAcentral